This is a non-coding RNA of Solanum lycopersicum (tomato), 2069 nucleotides long. NCBI's taxonomy places the organism in Eukaryota, Viridiplantae, Streptophyta, Magnoliopsida, Solanales, Solanaceae. The record is from RefSeq and is a predicted model, not a curated record.
GCAACAAGUGUUUUUCCCUAGUUGUUGAGAUUCUACAGUAGUGAAGAGCUAUUACUGUUGUCGUUAGCUUGUUAACAUGCUAUUUUAACCAGUUAGAACUUCUUAUCAUUUCGUAUUUGUUUUCGACCUCUUUAGUAUUCUUUACUUCUGCCCUCUUUUUUUUAUUUGUGUUCUUGAAUACUAGAUACUUCUUUUUUAUUCCGAGUAAUAAUCCAACUCAAUACCCAAGGGUGUGGUCUAGUGGUUAAUGAAGUGGGUUGAGAACUAUUGAGGUCUCAGGUUCAAACUCUAGCAGAGACAAAAAAAAAGAAAAACACUAGGAGAUUUGUUUUCAUUUGUCCUAGCCUUGGUGGACAGAGGUGAUAGAUAUCUCUUGUCGAGAUGCGUUCAAAGUCCGUCCCGAACUCCACCGUCAUUAGAAAAAAGGAAGACUAUUUCAACUCAUUAUUAUUUACCAACUGAAGUAUGACUUUUGUGCAAUGCUUAUUUCUUGAUCCAGAAGCAUUUGACAAGGUCCAGAUGCUCUGAAUAGACCAAGUAAGAAACUAUUGGUUUGUUGGCAUAAACGUUUGAUCAUAGAUGGAGACGACUUCACCUUGAACAUUUUCGGAUAAAAGGGACUGAGGUUGUUUCAGUCUAAUGUAACCUAUGCAACUAAGGUUUUGGUAACUUUAGCAACAACCUCUUUUUGUCAAGGACAUUUGAUCAAUCUUUAUAGCUGUAAGAGCACUUUGAACAACUUACUCUUGGCAACCCCACCAUGAAAGAAGUGGAAGUCUUUCGAAAAAAUGGGUCAUUGGAUGAUGCUCCCCCAUCAUUGUGAAAAAGUUGUGAGAGGACCCAAAGUUGAAGAAUACUGUCGGCAUGAAGCAACACAAGAGAGAGAUGCUUGAUAGCGACAUGGCAACGAAGAUUGACUAAUUUUGCUGGUUACCUGAUGACUUUCAUUGAUGAAAAAACAUCAUUACCUGGUAAUAGUUCAAAUUUUUUUAUCCGUUUUUCACCGUUGUUUUUACUUUCAAAUGAUGCAUUCAUCAUAAUUUGGAUAUAGUCUAAAGUAAUUUGGAUGAAUUUGAUUUAACUUGACACCUCCCACAUUUUUUCAUUUGACUUCACUUUUACCAAUUGUAUUCAUGAACAGUGAAAGAACCAUAUACUCCAUGCUUGAUAUGUGACAUUUACUUGCUUUCCAUCUAUAGUUUAAAGGCACUACAACCACAACAAUAUACCAAGUGUAGUCGCACACAGUGGGGUCUAAGGAGGGUAGAGUGUAUGCAGACCUUACCUAUACCUCAAAGGUGAGGUUGAGAGGUUGUUUCCUAUAGACCCCCGACUCAUAGUUCUUGGAAAGCUCUCGUUUUUCAAAUAAUCAAAGUGCUGGCAUGUUUCAAUGCCAUCUUUCAUGAAACCAGGCUCUUAUUUUCUGAUACCAACGUUUGGUAUUAUGUUAUUCUAUAUUGAAUAUGGGAUUAUAAUCUCGAAUUAACCUGGUCCCUAACGAUGUAUAGAUUACGAUUAAGCUACCAAAAAGAGAUUCUAUGACCACAUAAUAACCGUUGUUAACACUUUUUAUGGUGUUUAUAUGGAACUUAUCUUCUUUAUUUCUCAUCUUAAACUUUAGUAUGAUAGCACUUAUGUGAGAGAAGAUAAAAAGGCAUAUUUCCUUUUUCUCCUUUUUUUUUUCACUAUCAUUUUUUGGUGGGGUUAAAAGGAGUCUGUUGAUUGAUUUUUGUACUAGGCUUCUUUUUCUAUAUAUGCUUAGUACUUUUAACCACAGGCAACUAACUAUAUGGUAAAAUCUUAUACAAUGAUGUUUAUACCAUUUAAAGCAAAGUAUGGAGAAUGCAGCAUAGUGUUCAAAUUUCAAUGUUUUGAAAAGAAAAAUCCACAGUGAUCACUAUGUAAUUGGUGUAAACAUUCCGAUUUACACAGUACUUGUGUUGGUGGGAGAUAGUAGAUACUUGAUGAAAACAAGUGUAUGUUGAUCAAAUUUAGAUUACGUUGAAUUGUAUUGAAUUUAUUUAAAAUCGAGCAGUUAUCUUAUAAAACUAAAUUAGAAUCUUUAGUAA